This 208-nucleotide ribosomal RNA is filed under the name Vibrio cholerae. Its description in RNAcentral is "partial 23S ribosomal RNA". The stretch from base 1 to 186 matches the Rfam family "Bacterial large subunit ribosomal RNA", at positions 2745 to 2925 of the family's 2925-position model. Lineage: Bacteria; Pseudomonadati; Pseudomonadota; Gammaproteobacteria; Vibrionales; Vibrionaceae. The record is from RNAcentral.
GUAGCUAAGUUCGGAAUUGAUAAGCGCUGAAAGCAUCUAAGCGCGAAGCGAGCCCUGAGAUGAGUCUUCCCUGACGGUUUAACCGUCCUAAAGGGUUGUUCGAGACUAGAACGUUGAUAGGCAGGGUGUGUAAGCGUUGUGAGGCGUUGAGCUAACCUGUACUAAUUGCCCGUGAGGCUUAACCAUACAACACCCAAGGGGUUUUGUA